AUAACGCCGUCUGGAGAGAGGCUGCAAAGGCAGUCCACCGAAGGGGCAAACAGGGCAGAGCCCUGUAAACUCUCAGGUAUCAGGGACAGGGGGAGAGGC
RNAcentral lists this non-coding RNA (99 nucleotides) under Marinobacter sp. RNAcentral's name for it is "Glycine sequence". It matches the Rfam family "Glycine riboswitch aptamer". Rfam says of the family: This family represents the bacterial glycine riboswitch. Glycine riboswitches usually consist of two metabolite-binding aptamers domains with similar structures in tandem. The record is from RNAcentral. Lineage: Bacteria; Pseudomonadati; Pseudomonadota; Gammaproteobacteria; Pseudomonadales; Marinobacteraceae.